UGCUCCGUCAGACCCAUCAGCA
This 22-nucleotide microRNA is filed under the name Gallus gallus (chicken). RNAcentral's name for it is "gga-miR-12281-3p". The record is from miRBase by way of RNAcentral. Lineage: Eukaryota; Metazoa; Chordata; Aves; Galliformes; Phasianidae.